Molecule: long non-coding RNA, 266 nt
Organism: Eurytemora carolleeae
Lineage: Eukaryota; Metazoa; Arthropoda; Copepoda; Calanoida; Temoridae
Exons: 3
Source: RefSeq, a predicted model, not a curated record
AUGGCCACUGGCCAGUACAGCUCAUUUUUCGGUCGGUGAAACAUCUUUUAAUUUCUAGACUAUAUUUAAAAGAAUCUUUAUACUUAUUAAAUUAAUGUUUGCAAGAUCGGUUUGGAUAACAAAUCAACACUUCAAGUCACUGUCUGAGCUGAGCUCUGAGAAGAUCUGAGCUGGGAAUCGAAGAUGUUUACCGCUGAGGCUGUGCCAACCUGGUCGACUUAGAUGGUUUCUAAUCGAAAAUUCAGAAUAUAUAUUUUAAUUAAUCU